ACUCCGGUUGAUCCUGCCGGACCCGACCGCUAUCGGGGUAGGGCUAAGCCAUGGGAGUCGAACGCCCCGCCGCUGCGGGGCGUGGCGGACGGCUGAGUAACACGUGGCUAACCUACCCUCGGGACGGGGAUAACCCCUCGGGAAACUGGGGCUAAUCCCCGAUAGGCGGGGGGUGCCUGGAAGGGUCCCCCGCCGAAAGGGGCCGCGGGGGGUUAUCGCCUGCGGUCCGCCCGAGGAUGGGGCUGCGGCCCAUCAUGGUAGUUGGCGGGGUAAUGGCCCGCCAAGCCUACGACGGGUAGGGGCCGUGAGAGCGGGAGCCCCCAGAUGGGCACUGAGACAAGGGCCCAGGCCCUA
Molecule: ribosomal RNA, 354 nt
Filed under: Aeropyrum sp.
Lineage: Archaea; Thermoproteati; Thermoproteota; Thermoprotei; Acidilobales; Acidilobaceae
Description: bacterial SSU rRNA
Rfam family: Archaeal small subunit ribosomal RNA
Source: RNAcentral